Long non-coding RNA from Triticum aestivum (bread wheat), 2121 nucleotides. RefSeq lists it as uncharacterized. The record is from RefSeq and is a predicted model, not a curated record. NCBI's taxonomy places the organism in Eukaryota, Viridiplantae, Streptophyta, Magnoliopsida, Poales, Poaceae. The transcript has 6 exons.
CAAAUCUAUCCUCUCCCUACCAGCACCGCCUAAGACCAGAAGUGCAUGGCUAUGGAGAUGACGACCACCGGAGAUGUUGAAGUCGAGUUCUUGUCAGAUCCGGUCGACAGAUUUCCCCUGCCGGAUAUCGGCGGCGGAGAGCCCUUGGUCGCCUACGACCCAUGCCAGUCGAUGUUGUGUGCUCCUGCUGAGUCCAGCAUUGGUGAGGCCGGCGACGCUCCGGUGAAUGCCCAAUUAGAGUUGGACAUCACUUGCGAGGGAGUUGCCCUGACGGCACCAGCCUCGGAGCAAUCUGCAGGCAGAGACAAGCCGGAAGCCCCAGCCUGGACGAAGAGGAUCCGUGUCAGUCGUUCACCUACUGAACGACCGCCUUGUGCUGCCAGGAUGAGUGCUUUGGAAGCAACAUUAUGCAGAUAUGCAGGAAAAAAAACUGACACUAUCAUACUUCCUGUUGUGGGAAGCAACUUUGAUUCACUGGGAGAAGCCUACGAUUAGUACAAUCUCUAUUCUUGGGAGAUUGGGUUUGGAGUAAGAUAUGGAAAGAGCAGGCUAAAUGUCGAAAGAACAAAAUGUAUGCAAGAGAUAGUUUGUGGCUGCUAUGGAAUCCCAAAGAAGAGCAACACACGGACUUGUCGAUGCAGAUGCCCCGCAAUGAUAAGAUUGCUUCGAUCAAGCGAUAAUGGGUGGUACAUAAAUAAGUACAGGCCAGACCACAACCAUGCACAGACUGAAAAAUAUGGUGAGAAGGUAUACUGGCCAUGCUGUCUGCAGAACCGUGGACAAACAAUCGAAUCAUUUGUUUGGGUCCAUAACUCCGGCAGACAGCAUGGCCAGUCAUCUCCAGGCCGUAAGGAACCAGGGUAUGAGUAAGAGCCAAGAUAAUUUGAGAGGAGAUUUGAUACUUGAUGGCAAACACUGGAAAAAUAGCUUUUGAUGAAAUCUAAUGGUGAUAUGAAAAGGGAUAGUGCAGCACCUUUCAUGGUCAGUUUUGCCGCAUUUUAUCAUAGUCUUGUAGCAGUUGUGGACAUCGGAAGAAGAUGGUUUGUCUAUUGUUAUCGUCUGAAAUCUUGGAACCACAAUGUCCGGCUCUAACUUCGGUGCAGAUGGUAUGGUAAUAUUUCCCAUGUCUUGCCAGUUGCUAGGACCAGCUCCAACAGAAGACAGCAGUUUUUUGACAGUCGUCUCAUACGUAACGCAUUGUGAAAAUAUGAAAGAGGUACAUGGUAAUGGCUGAAGAUAUUUGAGGCCAAGUGGACGUUUGGUUGAUCGAGCUUACCAUCGCUGAUCAGGUAUGGAGGAAUAUGAGAUGCACUUGGAGCAGGAGCGCAUACAGUUCCUUGUGAUGCUGUGUUUGGAGAAGGACAUGCGAUGCUGGGAACUCCAAGUGCGCAAGUUCAUUUUAUUAUAGAUGAGGUGCAACUGAACUUUACUAAAUCCGGGUAUUACACGACACAUGAAUUCGAAUUCAGGGCCCAAAGGUGUGCUACAAUUACAGAUGGAAGUUAAUUUUACACAAAUUUUGGAAAGUUGAUUUAAGUAUGGAAUCUGUGGAAAUAUACUCUAAUGCCGAAGAUACAUUUGUUUGGAUGUAAAUGCAUGAAAGUAUCUAUUACAUGGUUGGUUAAACGGCGUGAUUAUGGUUGUUUUUCAUAUAAAGAGAGCAAAUCCAGUUGCCGGGGAAAUGGUGACGCGUGGCGUGCGUGUAUAGUUUUUAUGACCAUGUGGUUGACUUGCAGAGUAUAUGUGAACUUCAAGUUUGGGCAAUCAUGUUUUUUCAAGUGUGGUGCAGUACAGCUAUCAGUUUCACAUGAGCAUGGAGGGUGAAUUGAGCACACUACUGAGGGAGUAACUUCGUGCCGAGACAGUGUAUGAACAAGAGCUGCUUGGACGAUAGCGCCAUCUCCAGUUGUGGGCACCACAGUUUCAGCAGAAACAUUAGUAUACCCGACAGCUGUAUAGGCAGACAGUCAAAUUUUUGCGGCAUUAGCUGAAUGCUCCAUUGGGGACCAUGAUUUUCCCUUUUUUUGUAAAGUGUAGAUGAGAUUCAAGUGUUACCUUGUGUCAAGAGGUCAAUACGUUCGUUUGAGCUGCACAGAGCUGCAGCUGGACUUGAAUCCCAAA